AAUACAAAUUUUGUAUCAAAUAUUUUUUUAAAGAAUUGUUUCUAUGCUAUUCCUUUUCCUUGACUUGAAAAUGCCAUGUUUAUGGAAGAAACUUGAGCUUUUUGUCCAAUACUUAAUUACGUGAAUUAAAAUAUGUAAAUAGCAUUUUUUCUUCCAUUAGAAAAAAGAAAAUAUUAAUUUUAGGGGCCUGGUAUUUCCCUUUAAGCAUAGGCAGUUAUUUUAUGUAUUUAUGACUAUGCUUUAUUCUGUUAGCUCACUAUAAACAGAAAAAUCCAUGUCUUUGACUUUUUAACAUUUUUGCAUUUAAAGAGAUGUACCGAGAAGGAUGAAAUGAUUAAACCAUCACCUGCUUGACACAAAAAGUAGAGCAUCCUACUGCUUCGGUAUUUCAUACUGUACCUGUCUCAUUUCAACCAUUCCUCCACCACCAUGAUGGGACACAUGCAUAUUUUAGAAGAAUGCAUUGGUCUCACCUUUGAAAUGGCUCACAAAAAAUCACUGCAUUUACAAUUUGGAAAAUGUGUUUUCCAAGAAGCAAUACUCUAAAAUUUAGUGAUUAAGUAGUUACUAUUCAGUUAAUGCAACUGAAAAAUGAAUUGGGUUGGCAGAAAAAAUUUUAUCACUGUUUUCUCUGAUAAAAUAUACUGUACAUCCCAUCCUUGCUAUAAGGGCUCUCCAGAGAGCUCACAUGUGGCCUUUACAGUGGACACCAGCUGCUUAUAAAUAUGAGUGAACCAUAGACAAUGAAGGCCUCAUGGGUAAUACACUGAGAAUUCCCUUGGAUCUUACCAUUUUUAUUUCAUAAUAUUAGAAAUAUGAUUACUUUCCUAUUUAUUUUUGACAUUAUUUGCACAAAGUUAUUAGGACCACACCUGUUAUUUUACCUUUUGCAUAUUUUGAAUCCAUUUCAACCUGUAAUGAUGUAGCUGACAAGAAUUAGGUUCAGCUGAAGAUACAUCUGCUUUUCAGUUUACACAGUGGUAUAUCCAGUUGCCACAACAAAACAUUUUUUAGAUAAAAGUAUUUCUACAUAAGUAAAUAUAUAGAUGAUAUCUCAGCCGUGACAUUUUGUAAUUCAAUCAUGUGUAAAGUCAUUUUCAUUCUGUCAGAAAUGAGUGCAAAGAGCACCAGAGUAGUAGAGU
Molecule: long non-coding RNA, 1142 nt
Filed under: Bos taurus (domestic cattle)
Lineage: Eukaryota; Metazoa; Chordata; Mammalia; Artiodactyla; Bovidae
Description: long non-coding RNA NONBTAT015892
Source: RNAcentral